RNAcentral lists this ribosomal RNA (253 nucleotides) under uncultured bacterium. Its description in RNAcentral is "partial 16S ribosomal RNA". It matches the Rfam family "Bacterial small subunit ribosomal RNA", at positions 524 to 776 of the family's 1533-position model. The record is from RNAcentral.
UACGUAGGGUCCGAGCGUUGUCCGGAAUUACUGGGCGUAAAGAGCUCGUAGGUGGUUUGUCGCGUUGUUCGUGAAAACUCACAGCUCAACUGUGGGCGUGCGGGCGAUACGGGCAGACUUGAGUACUGCAGGGGAGACUGGAAUUCCUGGUGUAGCGGUGAAAUGCGCAGAUAUCAGGAGGAACACCGGUGGCGAAGGCGGGUCUCUGGGCAGUAACUGACGCUGAGGAGCGAAAGCGUGGGUAGCAAACAGG